RNAcentral lists this ribosomal RNA (474 nucleotides) under uncultured organism. RNAcentral describes it as "partial 16S ribosomal RNA". It matches the Rfam family "Bacterial small subunit ribosomal RNA", at positions 333 to 798 of the family's 1533-position model. The record is from RNAcentral.
ACACUCCUACGGGAGGCAGCAGUGGGGAAUUUUGGACAAUGGGCGAAAGCCUGAUCCAGCCAUGCCGCGUGCAGGAUGAAGGCCUUCGGGUUGUAAACUGCUUUUGUACGGAACGAAACGGCCUUUUCUAAUAAAGAGGGCUAAUGACGGUACCGUAAGAAUAAGCACCGGCUAACUACGUGCCAGCAGCCGCGGUAAUACGUAGGGUGCAAGCGUUAAUCGGAAUUACUGGGCGUAAAGCGUGCGCAGGCGGUUAUGUAAGACAGUUGUGAAAUCCCCGGGCUCAACCUGGGAACUGCAUCUGUGACUGCAUAGCUAGAGUACGGUAGAGGGGGAUGGAAUUCCGCGUGUAGCAGUGAAAUGCGUAGAUAUGCGGAGGAACACCGAUGGCGAAGGCAAUCCCCUGGACCUGUACUGACGCUCAUGCACGAAAGCGUGGGGAGCAAACAGGAUUAGAUACCCUGGUAGUCCCAU